GCUACAUCCUUAAGCACUAAAUUAAUACAUGUUUUUCAGGUGUGAAAAUGAAACCAAGUUCGAUACAGAAGACCUCCACUGGGCUUACAGUUUCUGCCCCACCCCGUACUUCUGGGCGGCACUCCUGGGCCUGAUCUUAUAUCUCAUUUUCUUUGCACCUGGUAUGGGACCAAUGCCCUGGACGGUGAAUUCUGAAAUCUAUCCUCUCUGGGCAAGAAGUACAGGAAAUGCAUGCUCAGCAGGAAUAAACUGGAUUUUCAACGUCCUGAUUUCACUGACCUUUUUACACACAGCAGAGUAUCUCACAUACUAUGGAGCAUUCUUCCUCUACACCAGCUUUGCAGCCAUGGGACUGGUUUUCGUCUAUGGCUGUCUUCCUGAAACGAAAGGGAAAAAGCUGGAGGAAAUUGAAUCUCUCUUUGACAACAGACUAUGUACAUGUGGCGCUACUGACUCCGAUGAAGGCAGAUACAUUGAAUACAUCCGGGUGAAGGGAAGUAACUACCAUCUCUCAGACAACGAUGCUUCUGAUGUGGAGUAAUUUCCAGCUGGUGACAUUUUCAUUCCUGAAUUGAAUGUGGGAGAAGGCCAGCACUUAGUCACUGCCCUGCUCGCAAGCCAAGUCUCCCCACAGUCCUUCCGAAUGUCUCCAUAUUCUAGAAGACUUGACAAUGAGAAAAAUACAAUCAUGGUGAUGUUUAUUUUCAUAAACAGAAAUGCUUAAAAAAAAACCCACAGAGUUUUCUUAAAGCAAAUGUGUAUAAUCCCUUCUAGAGAUGGUCUAAACAGUACUGUUGUACACAGUAACUUCAGUAGGACCCCUUUCACCUAAGACCAUAUACAAUUAUUAGUAGCAAUACAGUCAGUGAUAAUCUAGGCAGAUUAUAUAUGUAUAUUUAUAAAGUAUUAUUUAAGAUGACCUAAAGGUAUUUAAUACCAAAACAUAGCCCAUUGACCCUAAAUUUUCAUACUAAGUAGUGGCUUUUCUAUGGUACAAAGUGAAUUUCAUCUAAACUUCCAUCCACAAAUUUAGAAGACCUAUAAGGACACAGCUGUCCCUCUCUCCUUUGGAUUCCAGAUGUUGGCUUCUGUCUCCAACACAGAUACACUAAUUUCUUCAGAGACUGAAUACACAGGAUCUUUUGAACACUAUCCAAAGCAGGCCCGUUGAGGGUUAUUUUCAUACUUUUUUGCAUUGGUGAUGAGUAUAUUUGCACAGAUAAGCUAGCAUGUUUUGAUAAGUAUAUUUUAUUGUCAAAGUGAGAAAGAACAGAUUUUUAUAUAUCCUCAUCUGUUUGUUGCAAUUGUCUGCACAAUUGGAAUGCAAUUGUACAUGUAAAGUAGUGUCAGGUUGUCAACUGUAUUCCAGGGUCAGUUUAAUGCACACCAGACUCUCCACAUUGUCACUUCUAGGCUCCUGCUGCUCUGUGCCUUCCUUGGUGUUCACUGACAGCUGCUGGCAGACUGGUUUUCUCUUUCUGAUGCACAAGAGGAAGAAAGUCAGUGGCAGAAACAGUUAUUAACAUUUAACUUAAACCCUAGGAUUCUUUCUCCACAUAUUAUUGGCUCUUCCUAAGGACAGGAGCACACCUCAAUACUGAUUACUGUGUUUUCCCCUGAGAAAAUGCAAGCUACUUUUAAUUCUGUCUUUUCUCAUUCCUAAUAACUUGCUACAUAACCAAAACUCAGAGCUGUGUCUGUUUCUUUAUCUCAUCCUUGGUUUGGUUUUCUGUCUACUCUAAAAACUGAGAUUUCUGCUUUGGAAAAGACACAGAUAGGUUAUAAUCCACAGUCAGUAAAAGAGGCUGACUUUACCUUUCCACACUAUCUCUCAAAGUAUUUGGUAGUUUCUAUGUUCACCCAACACUGAAUUCCUAGUUCUCACCACCCUACUAAGAGCUAUGUGUGGUACAAACAAAAUUCCUUGCUUACAAAACUCAUUUGCUAGUUCUAAAGCUUGGAUGAGUCUAAUGACCAGUUAGGAACACAUCAGUUUGAUGUUUUACACAAUGAUCUAAACACCUAAUUAAGUUCCAUAUCCAAGUGAAUGGAGGGUAGUGAUAAAAUGGAGUAUUUUGGCCAGUCUCCAAAAUGCUUUUUCUUCUUUUAAUGCCUGGCUUCUUCUUACCAUAAUUACCAAGCUGAGAUGAUAGCAAAGGAAGUUUAUCCUCCAGGCACCACCAGAGGUACUUACACAGUCACUUUCGUGGCCUACAUAUCCUUCAGCCAAAAGAGGGAGUUCUCUCUGUUUGGUUGUUUAAUGCUAUUUUAAAAAAAUAGUAUAGUAUUUUGAAAAAUUUUUUUGUCAAAUUAGGUGCUUUGAGAUUUAUUUAUAGAGGAUAUUAGUACUAAUUUUUCUCUAGAACAAGAUAUUAUUUAAUGGGAAGUAUUAUUUGAUAUUUAUCUCUUAAGAAGUUUAACUCAAUAGCAUUUUACAAGAUCAAAUGAGCUAUUAUGUGGUAUGGUUGGCAUAUUAUGGGAAGAAAAAUGAGUAAAGUAAUCCUUUUAAAGUGUAUUUUUCUGAUUUGUUCAACUUGUUGCCUCAAAUCUUCCCUUCAUAGUCCACGUAGCCUUAGGUACACAUGUGUCUGCAGCUGGCUGACACAUGGGACACAUGGGCUGAGACAUGGGACACAUAUGACAUAAAGGGACAGCUAGAGUCAAUAGUCCUGAAAGCUGGGUGUGACCUGUUCUUGCUGACAUAAGAACAAGUAUGUUUUCAGCUUUCUGUGCAUAAAUUAAUAUAAUAAUGGGAAAUUGUCCACAUGUCUCUUGACCUGUACCCUUCUUCAUUUCUAAAAAUUAUUUAUAUAUUAAUAUUCCAUACCUUUAACAUACAAGACAGAACAGCACAUAUGACUUAUUUAUAACUUUUAAAAAGCAACUCAAUACUUGAAAAGGAGCCUUCUAUAAUCCAGGUAUGCUUUUUAGAUUUGGUGAACAUUUAUAGCAAAUUAAAAGUUCAAAGUUGGAAUUUUCAGACUUUUAUUCUAUUAAACACCUUUUAUGUUUCUAGUGUCAACUGCCAACUUGAAAACCACCCAUGUGAAAUCAUCAAACAUAUAUUUUGUAGGACAAUUUCUAUAUGAUAUGAUUUGACCUACCACAUUAAAAUAGACAGAUUAAGCAGUGUGCUUGCCACUGCAAUGAUAGCUUUCUUUCCAAACAUGCUGCAAUUUCAAUACCGGUGUGUUUCAUUUGGGGAACACUGAGUGAAGAAGGUUGAGACCAUACCUGCAACCUAGCUGGCUAAUAUGUAGGAGAAUUAAGAAUGCAUCAUUUGUCUACAUGUAAGCACAUACUGUUGAACGUGAUUGUCAAAAAGAUUUGGGGUUAUGGGCUGUAGAUACAGUUUAGUGGUAAAGUGCUGGCCUCAAAAGAUUGGAUGUUAAUAUUUUUCUUCCAUGUAAACAUCUGUAAUAAUUUUGAUUAUUACACCUACCUUAGUCAUUGUCUAAAACAUUGCUUUGAAUAUAUAUGAAUAUAUAUAUAUAUGAUAUUUCCAGGAGAAUGAUAGCAGAAUCUUUUAAAUAAUUUAUCAGUGAAACACACUUUAGGAUACAUUCUUAAUACUUGUUAUUCACUCUAAAAUGAGAGAUCAGUAAAAGCACCAAAUUUAUGGAUUUUUGCUCUAAUUUUAGUAUCUAUUAAACGGGUGAAAGGCCAGGGAAAACAAAUUGAUAACUUGCCCAUUUACUUUAUACUAGCAAAGUAUGGCUCAGAGGUUAAGAGCACUGACUGCUUUUCCAGGGGUCCUGAGUUCAAUUCCCAGCAACCACAUGGUGACUCACAACCAUCCAUCAUGAGAUCUGGUGCCCUCUUCUGGUGUGCAGAUAUACAUAGAAGCAGAAUGUUGUAUACAUAAUAAAUAAAUAAAAUCUUUUAAAAAAUUAUUAUAAAUCUUGGGGCAGGGUGAAGUGAUGUUUUAGAUAGUGUCACCCACAGGUUUUCUUUAAUAGCUGAGUGCAAUAACUUUUCAGUUGUCAACUUCAGACCAUUUCCCUAACUAGGAACAAAAGAAUUAGAUGGUACAACCAGGCCCGGAGUAGAGGAUUCCUGGUAUACUCUCUCUAGAAAACUAGCCUACAUCCUACCUUAAGCGGGAAAGUUAUAGGUGAAAUUCAUAGUUCAAGAGUAGCCACUGCCUAUACAAGACUCAAACCUGUUCUCUGGGCAGUUCUUCAUGUCCUUCAGCCUGUCCAUUUCUACCAGUACCAGUCAUGCACAGGUUGGACAGUGUAGAUAUAUUCAGUUCUCCAAGGUGAGCACCAGUGCUGCCACCUUCUGGGAACUUCGAGCAGUUGCAAAUGCCAAACAGCUACUUGCUCCCUGCUUCCUUGUAUGCUGUUUGGGGAAGGAAAUAGUCAUGUGCUAAUCAAUCAUCAUCAGAAAUUCACUUUAUAAGUAUUCACGUUCGGAAAUACCCAGAAGCAUUUUUGUCAUCAUCAUACUGUGCUUGUGAGUACAGAGCAGGAUAAUUCUCCAAAUCUUCACGUGUGUACAGUUCAGUCGAUAGCAAUUGAGUAAUUCGGUCAACAGAAUUUUCAAUGCCAUCUUUUACAGAUAAUAUUCACAUUUUAGACAGGCUCAUGGAGUUGAUUUUGUCAUAUCCACAUAAAUAGGAUAAGAAAUGGACUGUGCAGAUAAUCAAUAUCCAAACCUAUGAAUCUCUACUUUACAAAGUUUUCAGAUUUUGCCCAAUUCAACAUUAUCCAUUUCACUAAAAUUUAGACAAUAUAAUGUUAACUGUAGCCAAAGUAGAAAUUUAUGUCCUAUAUACAUGUCCAGAUUUUCUGGUGGCUCCUGUACUGUGUCUCUCUUGAUGUUACAGUACCGUUUGUAAUAAAUGUUCUAAUUUCUAUUUAGGAACUCUAAAUAUACAUCUCUAUUAAAUCGGAAGUUUCAUGCUUUUAGAGGUGGACGUAUUUUGAACUGUACAUUUUAAUUUUCAGAAUGCAUGUUAUAUACUGUUUAAUACUUGACAUAUCUUGGCAAAUCUAGUCUUUUCAUUCCUACCUGUGACAUACAGAGUAUCUCUUGAAAACUGACACUGUCCCAUUUACCAAAUCAUGCUAGCCUAUGCUGUAUCAAAAGUAUGGUAUAUUUUAUGGAGAUUUAGUGAUAUACAUGUAAAUGUUUUUUAAGUUAUUUUAUUGAACUUCAAUAUUUACAUAAAGUUAUAAUCUUUUUUUAAAGAAAGUGUCAGUGCCAGAGCUGUAUAAGAAAAUAAUCAAAUAAAGGUAAAGAUAAUUCAUUCUCCCAGA
Molecule: non-coding RNA, 5264 nt
Organism: Cricetulus griseus (Chinese hamster)
Lineage: Eukaryota; Metazoa; Chordata; Mammalia; Rodentia; Cricetidae
Source: RefSeq, a predicted model, not a curated record